UACUUUGCCGGCGAGCGGCGGACGGGUGAGUAAUGUCUGGGAAACUGCCUGAUGGAGGGGGAUAACUACUGGAAACGGUAGCUAAUACCGCAUGACCUCGAAAGAGCAAAGUGGGGGAUCUUCGGACCUCACGCCAUCGGAUGUGCCCAGAUGGGAUUAGCUAGUAGGUGAGGUAAUGGCUCACCUAGGCGACGAUCCCUAGCUGGUCUGAGAGGAUGACCAGCCACACUGGAACUGAGACACGGUCCAGACUCCUACGGGAGGCAGCAGUGGGGAAUAUUGCACAAUGGGCGCAAGCCUGAUGCAGCCAUGCCGCGUGUGUGAAGAAGGCCUUAGGGUUGUAAAGCACUUUCAGCGAGGAGGAAGGCAUCACACUUAAUACGUGUGGUGAUUGACGUUACUCGCAGAAGAAGCACCGGCUAACUCCGUGCCAGCAGCCGCGGUAAUACGGAGGGUGCAAGCGUUAAUCGGAAUUACUGGGCGUAAAGCGCACGCAGGCGGUUUGUUAAGUCAGAUGUGAAAUCCCCGCGCUUAACGUGGGAACUGCAUUUGAAACUGGCAAGCUAGAGUCUUGUAGAGGGGGGUAGAAUUCCAGGUGUAGCGGUGAAAUGCGUAGAGAUCUGGAGGAAUACCGGUGGCGAAGGC
RNAcentral lists this ribosomal RNA (645 nucleotides) under Rahnella sp. EECC-403. RNAcentral's name for it is "bacterial SSU rRNA". It matches the Rfam family "Bacterial small subunit ribosomal RNA", at positions 81 to 722 of the family's 1533-position model. Lineage: Bacteria; Pseudomonadati; Pseudomonadota; Gammaproteobacteria; Enterobacterales; Yersiniaceae. The record is from RNAcentral.